CCUACGGGAGGCAGCAGUAGGGAAUCUUCCACAAUGGACGCAAGUCUGAUGGAGCAACGCCGCGUGAGUGAAGAAGGCUUUCGGGUCGUAAAACUCUGUUGUUGGAGAAGAAUGGUCGGCAGAGUAACUGUUGUCGGCGUGACGGUAUCCAACCAGAAAGCCACGGCUAACUACGUGCCAGCAGCCGCGGUAAUACGUAGGUGGCAAGCGUUAUCCGGAUUUAUUGGGCGUAAAGCGAGCGCAGGCGGUUUUUUAAGUCUGAUGUGAAAGCCCUCGGCUUAACCGAGGAAGUGCAUCGGAAACUGGGAAACUUGAGUGCAGAAGAGGACAGUGGAACUCCAUGUGUAGCGGUGAAAUGCGUAGAUAUAUGGAAGAACACCAGUGGCGAAGGCGGCUGUCUGGUCUGUAACUGACGCUGAGGCUC
RNAcentral lists this ribosomal RNA (424 nucleotides) under uncultured Bacteroides sp. Its description in RNAcentral is "bacterial SSU rRNA". It matches the Rfam family "Bacterial small subunit ribosomal RNA", at positions 338 to 754 of the family's 1533-position model. The record is from RNAcentral. Lineage: Bacteria; Pseudomonadati; Bacteroidota; Bacteroidia; Bacteroidales; Bacteroidaceae.